This 468-nucleotide ribosomal RNA is filed under the name uncultured bacterium. RNAcentral's name for it is "partial 16S ribosomal RNA". It matches the Rfam family "Bacterial small subunit ribosomal RNA", at positions 28 to 507 of the family's 1533-position model. The record is from RNAcentral.
GAUGAACGCUGACAGAAUGCUUAACACAUGCAAGUCUACUUGAAUUUGGGUUUUUUACCUUCGAUUUGGGUGGCGGACGGGUGAGUAACGCGUAAAGAACUUGCCUCACAGUUAGGGACAACAUUUGGAAACGAAUGCUAAUACCUGAUAUUAUGAAUAUAUGGCAUCAUAUAAUUAUGAAAGCUAUAAGCGCUGUGAGAGAGCUUUGCGUCCCAUUAGCUAGUUGGAGAGGUAACGGCUCACCAAGGCGAUGAUGGGUAGCCGGCCUGAGAGGGUGAACGGCCACAAGGGAACUGAGACACGGCCCUUACUCCUACGGGAGGCAGCAGUGGGGAAUAUUGGACAAUGGACCAAGAGUCUGAUCCAGCAAUUCUGUGUGCACGAUGACGUUUUUCGGAAUGUAAAGUGCUUUCAGUUGGGAAGAAAAAAAUGACGGUACCAACAGAAGAAGUGACGGCUAAAUACGUG